This 98-nucleotide Y RNA is filed under the name Prolemur simus (greater bamboo lemur). RNAcentral's name for it is "Y RNA (ENSPSMG00000013697.1)". It matches the Rfam family "Y RNA". Rfam says of the family: Y RNAs are components of the Ro ribonucleoprotein particle (Ro RNP), in association with Ro60 and La proteins. The Y RNAs and Ro60 and La proteins are well conserved, but the function of the Ro RNP is not known. The record is from RNAcentral. Lineage: Eukaryota; Metazoa; Chordata; Mammalia; Primates; Lemuridae.
CUGGUCCGAGUGCAGUUGUGUUUACAACUAAUUGAUCACAACCAGUUACAGAUUCCUUUGUUCCUUCUCCACUCCCACUGCUUCACUUGACUAGUUAA